GCCCCGGUAGCUCAGCUGGACAGAGCAAUGGAUUCCUAAUCCAUAGGUCGGAGGUUCGAACCCUCUCCGGGGCACCA
RNAcentral lists this transfer RNA (77 nucleotides) under Kiritimatiellales bacterium. RNAcentral's name for it is "tRNA-Arg". It matches the Rfam family "tRNA". From Rfam's summary of the family: Transfer RNA (tRNA) molecules are approximately 80 nucleotides in length. Their secondary structure includes four short double-helical elements and three loops (D, anti-codon, and T loops). Lineage: Bacteria; Pseudomonadati; Kiritimatiellota; Kiritimatiellia; Kiritimatiellales. The record is from RNAcentral. RNAcentral also lists the same sequence under 1 other name.